GAUGAAGAACGUAGCAAAUCGCGAUAUGUAAUGUGAUCUGCCUAUAGUGAAUCAUCAAAUCUUUGAACGCAUCUUGCACCUUAUGGUAUUCCAUAAGGUACGUCUGUAUCAGUACCACUAGUAAAUCUCCCCUCCACCUUGGUGGUUUAAAAGGAAGAGAUAAAUUAUUACUGGUUCUGGUGAUUCUUGAUUUAUUAAGAAUUACUCUCGACCUAAAUAUAAGUCUCGACUUUUUUAUUAGAUCUCGCAUCUGGUAAAACCUAGUCGGCUUUAAUAGGAUUUAUUUCUUAUUAGGUUUAUAGCCAUCAUUUUACUUUUAAAUCUUGGCCUGAAAUCAGAUGGGACUACCCGCUGAACUUAAGCAUAUCAAUAAGCGGAGGA
RNAcentral lists this unclassified non-coding RNA (381 nucleotides) under soil metagenome. Its description in RNAcentral is "partial contains internal transcribed spacer 2 and large subunit ribosomal RNA". The stretch from base 1 to 117 matches the Rfam family "5.8S ribosomal RNA", at positions 35 to 154 of the family's 154-position model. The record is from RNAcentral.